GGGGAAUAUUGGACAAUGGGCGAAAGCCUGAUCCAGCCAUGCCGCGUGAGUGAUGACGGCCUUAGGGUUGUAAAGCUCUUUUACCCGGGAAGAUAAUGACGGUACCGGGAGAAUAAGCCCCGGCUAACUUCGUGCCAGCAGCCGCGGUAAUACGAAGGGGGCUAGCGUUGUUCGGAUUUACUGGGCGUAAAGCGCACGUAGGCGGAUUCUUAAGUCAGGGGUGAAAUCCCGAGGCUCAACCUCGGAACUGCCUUUGAUACUGGGGAUCUCGAGUUCGGGAGAGGUGAGUGGAAUUGCGAGUGUAGAGGUGAAAUUCGUAGAUAUUCGCAAGAACACCAGUGGCGAAGGCGGCUCACUGGCCCGAUACUGACGCUGAGGUGCGAAAGCGUGGGGAGCAAACAG
Molecule: ribosomal RNA, 402 nt
Filed under: uncultured bacterium
Lineage: Bacteria
Description: bacterial SSU rRNA
Rfam family: Bacterial small subunit ribosomal RNA
Source: RNAcentral